This 497-nucleotide ribosomal RNA is filed under the name uncultured bacterium. Its description in RNAcentral is "partial 16S ribosomal RNA". It matches the Rfam family "Bacterial small subunit ribosomal RNA", at positions 28 to 507 of the family's 1533-position model. The record is from RNAcentral.
GAUGAACGCUGGCGGCGUGCCUAAUACAUGCAAGUCGAGCGAACGGACGAGAAGCUUGCUUCUCUGAUGUUAGCGGCGGACGGGUGAGUAACACGUGGAUAACCUACCUAUAAGACUGGGAUAACUUCGGGAAACCGGAGCUAAUACCGGAUGAUAUUUUGAACCGCAUGGUUCAAAAGUGAAAGACGGUCUUGCUGUCACUUAUAGAUGUAUCCGCGCUGCAUUAGCUAGUUGGUGAGGUAACGGCUUACCAAGGCAACGAUGCAUAGCCGACCUGAGAGGGUGAUCGGCCACACUGGAACUGAGACACGGUCAAGACUCCUACGGGAGGCAGCAGUAGGGAAUAUUCCGCAAUGGGCGAAAGCCUGACGGAGCAAAGCCGCGUGAGUGAUGAAGGUCUUCGGAUCGUAAAACUCUGUUAUUAGGGAAGAACAUAUGUGUAAGUAAAUGUGCACAUCUUGACGGUACCUAAUCAGAAAGCCACGGCUAACUACGUG